AUUGAACGCUGGCGGCAGGCUUAACACAUGCAAGUCGAGCGGUAGCACAGGGGAGCUUGCUCCCUGGGUGACGAGCGGCGGACGGGUGAGUAAUGUCUGGGAUACUGCCUGAUGGAGGGGGAUAACUACUGGAAACGGUAGCUAAUACCGCAUAACGUCGCAAGACCAAAGAGGGGGACCUUCGGGCCUCUUGCCAUCAGAUGUGCCCAGAUGGGAUUAGCUAGUAGGUGGGGUAAUGGCUCACCUAGGCGACGAUCCCUAGCUGGUCUGAGAGGAUGACCAGCCACACUGGAACUGAGACACGGUCCAGACUCCUACGGGAGGCAGCAGUGGGGAAUAUUGCACAAUGGGCGCAAGCCUGAUGCAGCCAUGCCGCGUGUGUGAAGAAGGCCUUCGGGUUGUAAAGCACUUUCAGCGAGGAGGAAGGUGGUGAGCUUAAUACGCUCAUCAAUUGACGUUACUCGCAGAAGAAGCACCGGCUAACUCCGUG
RNAcentral lists this ribosomal RNA (490 nucleotides) under uncultured bacterium. RNAcentral describes it as "partial 16S ribosomal RNA". It matches the Rfam family "Bacterial small subunit ribosomal RNA", at positions 30 to 507 of the family's 1533-position model. The record is from RNAcentral.